CUACGGGCGGCUGCAGUGGGGAAUAUUGCACAAUGGGGGGAACCCUGAUGCAGCAACGCCGCGUGGAGGAUGACGCAUUUCGGUGUGUAAACUCCUUUUAUAUGUCAAGAAAAUGACGGUAGCAUAUGAAUAAGCACCGGCUAACUCCGUGCCAGCAGCCGCGGUAAUACGGGGGGUGCAAGCGUUACUCGGAAUCACUGGGCGUAAAGGACGCGUAGGCGGGUUGGAAAGUCAGGUGUGAAAUCCUACAGCUUAACUGUAGAACUGCACUUGAAACUUCUAAUCUAGAGUAUGGGAGGGGGAGAUGGAAUUAGUGGUGUAGGGGUAAAAUCCGUAGAUAUCACUAGGAAUACCUAAAGCGAAGGCGAUCUCCUGGAACAUUACUGACGCUAAGGCGUGAAAGCGUGGGGAGCAAACAGGAUUAGAUACCCCAGUAGUC
RNAcentral lists this ribosomal RNA (439 nucleotides) under uncultured bacterium. RNAcentral describes it as "partial 16S ribosomal RNA". It matches the Rfam family "Bacterial small subunit ribosomal RNA", at positions 339 to 795 of the family's 1533-position model. The record is from RNAcentral.